RNAcentral lists this transfer RNA (84 nucleotides) under Gomphillus americanus. It matches the Rfam family "tRNA". From Rfam's summary of the family: Transfer RNA (tRNA) molecules are approximately 80 nucleotides in length. Their secondary structure includes four short double-helical elements and three loops (D, anti-codon, and T loops). Further hydrogen bonds mediate the characteristic L-shaped molecular structure. tRNAs have two regions of fundamental functional importance: the anti-codon, which is responsible for specific mRNA codon recognition, and the 3' end, to which the tRNAs corresponding amino acid is attached (by aminoacyl-tRNA synthetases). tRNAs cope with the degeneracy of the genetic code in two manners: having more than one tRNA (with a specific anti-codon) for a particular amino acid; and 'wobble' base-pairing, i.e. permitting non-standard base-pairing at the 3rd anti-codon position. The record is from Rfam by way of RNAcentral. Lineage: Eukaryota; Fungi; Ascomycota; Lecanoromycetes; Ostropales; Graphidaceae.
CUCUCGAUAGUUCAGUUGGAAGAACGCAUGGCUGUAAUGUUCAAGUUUACCAUGAGGUCGCUAGUUCGAAUCUUGCUCGAGAGA